Molecule: non-coding RNA, 614 nt
Organism: Salvia hispanica
Lineage: Eukaryota; Viridiplantae; Streptophyta; Magnoliopsida; Lamiales; Lamiaceae
Source: RefSeq, a predicted model, not a curated record
UGUAGGAUUCUUUUCCUCAUAUUAUCAUUGCCCCAAACGCUGGUGUUGCCGCCUACAAGAGCUGGAUACCUACUCUUGAAAUAAUAAAGGAUCUCAAGGUUCCAGCAGUAUUCUCCGAUUACUGUGAAGAAGCUUGUCAUCUUGCAGCUUCAUGUAUCAGAUCUGUAACAGGCUAUGCUCCUAGAAUACCAAUUCAGAUAAACCCAUUCAGGCAGCCUCUUUGUGUUGAAGAAAGUGCUCUCUAUCUUCCAUGCUAUUCUAAUUGCUUCAUGUUUGGCUUCUGAACUACUAGUUGUUUGUGCAUGAAUUAAAGCGAUGCUGCUCUUAAGCUGGCCGGUGAUCCUGCUCUUAAACUGGGAUGUUGAUUAAUACUAGCUUACACGGCAUCAAAUCGAUGAUAUAUAGGAGUAGAAGUGUGCAAAUCAUAUAAAAUAUAAAAAAAGAUUAAAAAGAAUUGUGCUGGGUCAGGUACCCGCGGUGUCGGGUGGGAUAUCCGACUCACUGCGGGGCGGGUAUUGGGACUGCCGUUUCGCCCGAAAUUGGAUGUGGGCACCCACGAAUACUUGUUUCGACACUCGUAUAUAAAUAUUAAACGACAUGCCACUAAUUUUAUA